UAUGUUGGAAGGGUAACCGGAAGGCAUAUUUAGUGGCGAACGGGUGAGUAAUGCAUGAGAACGUAUCCUCAAGAGGGGGACAACAUUGGGAAACCGAUGCUAAUACCCCAUAAGCCGGGAGGUAAAAGGAGCAAUCCGCUUGAGGAGCGGUUCAUGUCCUAUCAGCUAGUUGGUGAGGUAACGGCUCACCAAGGCGAAGACGGGUAGCCGGCCUGAGAGGGUGAACGGCCACACUGGAACUGAGAGACGGUCCAGACUCCUACGGGAGGCAGCAGUGGGGAAUAUUGGGCAAUGGGGGAAACCCUGACCCAGCGACGCCGCGUGAGGGAAGAAGGCCUUAGGGUCGUAAACCUCUGUUGUGUGGGAAGAAGAGCGUGACGGUACCACACGAGGAAGUCCCGGCUAACUACGUGCCAGCAGCCGCGGUAAUACGUAGGGGACGAGCGUUGUCCGGAUUUACU
RNAcentral lists this ribosomal RNA (461 nucleotides) under uncultured Synergistota bacterium. RNAcentral's name for it is "bacterial SSU rRNA". It matches the Rfam family "Bacterial small subunit ribosomal RNA", at positions 68 to 555 of the family's 1533-position model. Lineage: Bacteria; Thermotogati; Synergistota. The record is from RNAcentral.